This 74-nucleotide transfer RNA is filed under the name Streptomyces olivaceoviridis. Its description in RNAcentral is "tRNA-Val". The record is from RNAcentral. RNAcentral also lists the same sequence under 1 other name. Lineage: Bacteria; Bacillati; Actinomycetota; Actinomycetes; Kitasatosporales; Streptomycetaceae.
CGGCUGGCGUGGCCGGUGGAGGGCGUGCUCUUCGACGUGGAGCACAACGGGUUCUGGCAUCCCGCCUGGCCGUC